Molecule: ribosomal RNA, 429 nt
Filed under: Actinomycetes bacterium
Lineage: Bacteria; Bacillati; Actinomycetota; Actinomycetes
Description: Actinobacteria bacterium partial 16S ribosomal RNA
Rfam family: Bacterial small subunit ribosomal RNA
Source: RNAcentral
UAGGGAAUCUUCCGCAAUGGGCGAAAGCCUGACGGAGCAACGCCGCGUGAGUGAUGAAGGUCUUCGGAUCGUAAAACUCUGUUAUUAGGGAAGAACAAAUGUGUAAGUAACUAUGCACGUCCUGACGGUACCUAAUCAGAAAGCCACGGCUAACUACGUGCCAGCAGCCGCGGUAAUACGUAGGUGGCAAGCGUUAUCCGGAAUUAUUGGGCGUAAAGCGCGCGUAGGCGGUUUUUUAAGUCUGAUGUGAAAGCCUACGGCUCAACCGUGGAGGGUCAUUGGAAACUGGAAAACUUGAGUGCAGAAGAGGAAAGUGGAAUUCCAUGUGUAGCGGUGAAAUGCGCAGAGAUGUGGAGGAACACCAGUGGCGAAGGCGACUUUCUGGUCUGUAACUGACGCUGAUGUGCGAAAGCGUGGGGAUCAAACAGG